RNAcentral lists this ribosomal RNA (466 nucleotides) under uncultured bacterium. Its description in RNAcentral is "partial 16S ribosomal RNA". It matches the Rfam family "Bacterial small subunit ribosomal RNA", at positions 28 to 507 of the family's 1533-position model. The record is from RNAcentral.
GAUGAACGCUGGCGGCGUGCUUAACACAUGCAAGUCGAACGGAAAGGCCAGUGCUUGCUCUUGUUCUCGAGUGGCGAACGGGUGAGUAACACGUGGGUGAUCUGCCCUGUACUUCGGUAUAAGCUUGGGAAACUGGGUCUACUCCCGGAUCGGACAACUCUUUGGAUAUUGUUGUGGAAAUCUUUUGCGGUAUGGGAUUAGCUCGCGCCCUAUCCGCUUUUGGGUGGGGUAAUGGCCAACCAAGGCGUCGACGGGUAGCCGGCCUGAGAGGGUGUACGGCCACAUUGGGACUGAGAUACGGCCCAGACUCCUACGGGAGGCAGCAGUGGGGAAUAUUGCACAAUGGGCGCAAGACUGAUGCAGCGACGCCGCGUGGGGGAUGAAGGCCUUCGGGUUGUAAACUCCUUUCGCUAGGGACGAAGCGUAAGUGACGGUACCUGGAGAAGAAGCACCGGCUAACUACGUG